AGAGUUUGAUCAUGGCUCAGAACGAACGCUGGCGGCAGGAUUAACACAUGCAAGUCGAGCGCCCCGCAAGGGGAGCGGCAGACGGGUGAGUAACGCGUGGGAACGUACCCCCCGGUUCGGAAUAACUCAGGGAAACUUGAGCUAAUACCGGAUACGGCUGGAAGGCGAAAGAUUCAUCGCCGGGGGAUCGGCCCGCGUCC
This 200-nucleotide ribosomal RNA is filed under the name uncultured bacterium. Its description in RNAcentral is "partial 16S ribosomal RNA". It matches the Rfam family "Bacterial small subunit ribosomal RNA", at positions 8 to 238 of the family's 1533-position model. The record is from RNAcentral.